Molecule: long non-coding RNA, 839 nt
Organism: Aegilops tauschii subsp. strangulata
Lineage: Eukaryota; Viridiplantae; Streptophyta; Magnoliopsida; Poales; Poaceae
Source: RefSeq, a predicted model, not a curated record
GGCCCGGGUAGAUCGACCGCGUCGUUUGGACCGCGUCACACGAGGGGUAACCCUGAGGAAAGCCACGACCCUAGACAUCGGGGAGGAAAACCACGGCUCGAGAUAACGACGGUGCCGUCGACCAAGAUCCAGUGCCCUGCCUGGCUGCCUCCUCCGCGUCCGAGCUCCUCCACCGGCGACAUAAGCGACGCCCUCAACCCCCUCCGUCUGUUGCUCAGGAUCCAAGCUCCGCCCCUCCAGCAACGGUGAUGGACCGCGGCCGUCACCGUCCUCCUUCCCGGAUCUCUACUCCGCCUCUAAGCUCUGGCCUCCUCUGGUGACCGCGACGACGACGGUUCUCUGUUCGUUUUCUACCUCCUCCGGUCAAGAUCCAGGAAAGUGAGCACAGCCUCCUCUCAGAUCAUUUUCACCAUCGUCAAUCUCAGGUACGUGCUUCAAUGUCAACUUAUCGAAGGCAGCAAGUGCCCCUAAAACAUCGAGCUGUGGUACCUGAUGUCGACGUGGAGUGGGGAACGAGCUGAGCAAAACUAUUGACCAUCACCUUGCAGCUCAUCUUCUUCAGUAGUGUGUCCGCCUCAAACAUGACAACUUGGGAAUUUAGAGUUUUUUGUAUUGUACAACUCAUUAGCUCCUAUGCUUCUGCUAUAGCUAACCUUUUGCCUUAGUUGUAAUGGUGCAGUCCUAAAAAUUGAGUACCAAUCUUAACAAUGAUGGGUCAUAUUAGGUGUAAUGUAUUGCACACGAAAACGAUUUAGGCUAUCACUUGAUCGCGGUGAAAUGUAGACCAAUAUCUUAACCUUGAUAAAGUGAUGAAAUAUCAGUUGUAUUAUUUUUGGAAA